UUAAGCGACUAAGCGUACACGGUGGAUGCCCUGGCAGUCAGAGGCGAUGAAGGACGUGCUAAUCUGCGAUAAGCGUCGGUAAGGUGAUAUGAACCGUUAUAACCGGCGAUUUCCGAAUGGGGAAACCCAGUGUGAUUCGUCACACUAUCAUUAACUGAAUCCAUAGGUUAAUGAGGCGAACCGGGGGAACUGAAACAUCUAAGUACCCCGAGGAAAAGAAAUCAACCGAGAUUCCCCCAGUAGCGGCGAGCGAACGGGGAGCAGCCCAGAGUCUGAAUCAGCUUGUGUGUUAGUGGAACGGUCUGGAAAGUCCGACGGUACAGGGUGAUAGUCCCGUACACCAAAAUGCACAGGUUGUGAACUCGAAGAGUAGGGCGGGACACGUGGUAUCCUGUCUGAAUAUGGGGGGACCAUCCUCCAAGGCUAAAUACUCCUGACUGACCGAUAGUGAACCAGUACCGUGAGGGAAAGGCGAAAAGAACCCCGGCGAGGGGAGUGAAAAAGAACCUGAAACCGUGUACGUACAAGCAGUGGGAGCCUCUUUAUGGGGUGACUGCGUACCUUUUGUAUAAUGGGUCAGCGACUUAUAUUCUGUAGCAAGGUUAACCGAAUAGGGGAGCCGAAGGGAAACCGAGUCUUAACUGGGCGUUAAGUUGCAGGGUAUAGACCCGAAACCCGGUGAUCUAGCCAUGGGCAGGUUGAAGGUUGGGUAACACUAACUGGAGGACCGAACCGACUAAUGUUGAAAAAUUAGCGGAUGACUUGUGGCUGGGGGUGAAAGGCCAAUCAAACCGGGAGAUAGCUGGUUCUCCCCGAAAGCUAUUUAGGUAGCGCCUCGUGAACUCAUCUUCGGGGGUAGAGCACUGUUUCGGCUAGGGGGUCAUCCCGACUUACCAACCCGAUGCAAACUACGAAUACCGAAGAGUGAUACUCAGGAGACACACGGCGGGUGCUAACGUCCGUCGUGGAGAGGGAAACAACCCAGACCGCCAGCUAAGGUCCCAAAGUCAUGGUUAAGUGGGAAACGAUGUGGGAAGGCCCAGACAGCCAGGAUGUUGGCUUAGAAGCAGCCAUCAUUUAAAGAAAGCGUAAUAGCUCACUGGUCGAGUCGGCCUGCGCGGAAGAUGUAACGGGGCUAAACCAUGCACCGAAGCUGCGGCAGCGACGCUUAUGCGUUGUUGGGUAGGGGAGCGUUCUGUAAGCCUGCGAAGGUGUGCUGUGAGGCAUGCUGGAGGUAUCAGAAGUGCGAAUGCUGACAUAAGUAACGAUAAAGCGGGUGAAAAGCCCGCUCGCCGGAAGACCAAGGGUUCCUGUCCAACGUUAAUCGGGGCAGGGUGAGUCGACCCCUAAGGCGAGGCCGAAAGGCGUAGUCGAUGGGAAACAGGUUAAUAUUCCUGUACUUGGUGUUACUGCGAAGGGGGGACGGAGAAGGCUAUGUUGGCCGGGCGACGGUUGUCCCGGUUUAAGCGUGUAGGCUGGUUUUCCAGGCAAAUCCGGAAAAUCAAGGCUGAGGCGUGAUGACGAGGCACUACGGUGCUGAAGCAACAAAUGCCCUGCUUCCAGGAAAAGCCUCUAAGCAUCAGGUAACAUCAAAUCGUACCCCAAACCGACACAGGUGGUCAGGUAGAGAAUACCAAGGCGCUUGAGAGAACUCGGGUGAAGGAACUAGGCAAAAUGGUGCCGUAACUUCGGGAGAAGGCACGCUGAUAUGUAGGUGAAGCCCCUGCGGGUGGAGCUGAAAUCAGUCGAAGAUACCAGCUGGCUGCAACUGUUUAUUAAAAACACAGCACUGUGCAAACACGAAAGUGGACGUAUACGGUGUGACGCCUGCCCGGUGCCGGAAGGUUAAUUGAUGGGGUUAGCGGUAACGCGAAGCUCUUGAUCGAAGCCCCGGUAAACGGCGGCCGUAACUAUAACGGUCCUAAGGUAGCGAAAUUCCUUGUCGGGUAAGUUCCGACCUGC
RNAcentral lists this ribosomal RNA (1962 nucleotides) under human gut metagenome. Its description in RNAcentral is "bacterial LSU rRNA". It matches the Rfam family "Bacterial large subunit ribosomal RNA", at positions 1 to 1991 of the family's 2925-position model. The record is from RNAcentral.